CGUGCCAACGCCGAGAGCAGGUGACAAUGGAUCCUGCCCAUGCCAUACCCAUUUCUGCUCGAAGCCCGUCGCCGUCGCCGUCAUCGUAGUCGCCGCCGUAGCCGUCGCCGCAGUAGCCGUCGUCGCCACCGCGCACCUCAGCCCUCCCCUCUCCGGCGCCGCGAAUCGAGAACCCUAGGGUUCUCAAUUUUUCGGGUCGCGGCCUCGGGUCAGUGGGUCGGACCCGGGGCCACGAGUCGGGUAGGGUUCCGCGAGGUCAAGGGAGGUUGGAAACCGGGUCGUG
This 283-nucleotide long non-coding RNA is filed under the name Eucalyptus grandis. RNAcentral's name for it is "long non-coding RNA (EGRA_LNC007457)". The record is from RNAcentral. Lineage: Eukaryota; Viridiplantae; Streptophyta; Magnoliopsida; Myrtales; Myrtaceae.